Molecule: ribosomal RNA, 562 nt
Filed under: Pomacentrus brachialis (charcoal damsel)
Lineage: Eukaryota; Metazoa; Chordata; Actinopteri; Pomacentridae
Description: partial 16S ribosomal RNA
Rfam family: Bacterial large subunit ribosomal RNA
Source: RNAcentral
CAUAAGAGGUCCUGCCUGCCCAGUGACUGUUUGUUCAACGGCCGCGGUACUUUGACCGUGCGAAGGUAGCGCAAUCACUUGUCUUUUAAAUGGAGACCUGUAUGAAUGGCUAGACGAGGGCUUAACUGUCUCCUUUUUCCAGUCAAUGAAAUUGAUCUUCCCGUGCAGAAGCGGGAAUAACACCAUAAGACGAGAAGACCCUGUGGAGCUUUAGACACUAAGUCAGCCCUUGUCCAAAGCCCCCAUUAAAGGGCUGAACAUAUAGAGUGAGACCUGAUCUGAUGUCUUCGGUUGGGGCGACCUCGGGGAAAGAAAAAACCCCCGCGCGGAACGGAAGUACUUCUUCUAAAACUAAGAGCCUCCGCUCAAAGUACCAGAAAUUUUGACCAACAAUAUGAUCCAGCUUAACGCCGAUCAACGGACUAAGUUACCCCAGGGAUAACAGCGCAAUCCUCUUUUAGAGCCCAUAUCGACAAGAGGGUUUACGACCUCGAUGUUGGAUCAGGACAUCCUAAUGGUGCAGCCGCUAUUAAGGGUUCGUUUGUUCAACGAUUAAAGUCCU